CCCUUAGAUGUUCUGGGCCGCACGCGCGCUACACUGACGAAUGCAACGAGCUUAUAACCUUGGCCGAAAGGUCUGGGUAAUCUCCAAAUUUCGUCGUGAUGGGGAUAGAUUAUUGCAAUUAUUAAUCUUCAACGAGGAAUGCCUAGUAAGCGCAAGUCAUCAGCUUGCGUUGAUUACGUCCCUGCCCUUUGUACACACCGCCCGUCGCUCCUACCGACUGAAUGGUCCGGUGAAGCGUUCGGACCGUGGCCUUUGGACGGUUCGCCGUCUGUUGGCUGCGGGAAGUUCGUUAAACCUUAUCAUUUAGAGGAAGGAGAAGUCGUAACA
Molecule: ribosomal RNA, 327 nt
Filed under: uncultured eukaryote
Lineage: Eukaryota
Description: partial 18S ribosomal RNA
Rfam family: Eukaryotic small subunit ribosomal RNA
Source: RNAcentral